This 213-nucleotide long non-coding RNA is filed under the name Ananas comosus (pineapple). RNAcentral's name for it is "long non-coding RNA (ACOM_LNC022529)". Lineage: Eukaryota; Viridiplantae; Streptophyta; Magnoliopsida; Poales; Bromeliaceae. The record is from RNAcentral.
AGUGGUGUAUCAGUACCUACUAGAGUAUUGAUUGGGUAAACUCUUGAGUUUUGCGGAACUGAGAGCUGUACUGGUAGUGAUGUUUGAGAGUAUUGGUGCUGAUAUUUGGGAGUACCGGUACUGAUGUUUAGAGAAUUGGUACACAAUAGAAAUCAGCUGCGUACAGGAUUCGAGUUUGCAGAAUUGACCUUGAGUAUCGGAAUGCCAUGUAUA